AUUGAACGCUGGCGGCAGGCCUAACACAUGCAAGUCGGACGGUAGCACAGAGAGCUUGCUCUUGGGUGACGAGUGGCGGACGGGUGAGUAAUGUCUGGGGAUCUGCCCGAUAGAGGGGGAUAACCACUGGAAACGGUGGCUAAUACCGUAUAACGUCGCAAGACCAAAGAGGGGGACCUUCGGGCCUCUCACUAUCGGAUGAACCCAGAUGGGAUUAGCUAGUAGGCGGGGUAAUGGCCCACCUAGGCGACGAUCCCUAGCUGGUCUGAGAGGAUGACCAGCCACACUGGAACUGAGACACGGUCCAGACUCCUACGGGAGGCAGCAGUGGGGAAUAUUGCACAAUGGGCGCAAGCCUGAUGCAGCCAUGCCGCGUGUAUGAAGAAGGCCUUCGGGUUGUAAAGUACUUUCAGCGGGGAGGAAGGCGGUACGGUUAAUAACCGUACCGAUUGACGUUACCCGCAGAAGAAGCACCGGCUAACUCCGUGCCAGCCGCCGCCGUAA
RNAcentral lists this ribosomal RNA (504 nucleotides) under uncultured bacterium. RNAcentral's name for it is "partial 16S ribosomal RNA". It matches the Rfam family "Bacterial small subunit ribosomal RNA", at positions 30 to 523 of the family's 1533-position model. The record is from RNAcentral.